This 491-nucleotide ribosomal RNA is filed under the name uncultured bacterium. RNAcentral describes it as "partial 16S ribosomal RNA". It matches the Rfam family "Bacterial small subunit ribosomal RNA", at positions 29 to 507 of the family's 1533-position model. The record is from RNAcentral.
AGUGAACGCUGGCGGUAGGCCUAACACAUGCAAGUCGAACGGCAGCACAGUAAGAGCUUGCUCUUACGGGUGGCGAGUGGCGGACGGGUGAGGAAUACAUCGGAAUCUACUUUUUCGUGGGGGAUAACGUAGGGAAACUUACGCUAAUACCGCAUACGACCUACGGGUGAAAGCAGGGGAUCUUCGGACCUUGCGCGAUUGAAUGAGCCGAUGUCGGAUUAGCUAGUUGGCGGGGUAAGGGCCCACCAAGGCGACGAUCCGUAGCUGGUCUGAGAGGAUGGUCGGCCACACUGAACUGAGACACGGUCCAGACUCCUACGGGAGGCAGCAGUGGGGAAUAUUGGACAAUGGGCGCAAGCCUGAUCCAGCCAUACCGCGUGGGUGAAGAAGGCCUUCGGGUUGUAAAGCCCUUUUGUUGGGAAAGAAAAGCAGCAGGUUAAUACCCCGCUGUUCUGACGGUACCCAAAGAAUAAGCACCGGCUAACUUCGUG